AAUAAAGUGCCUGAUUUAAGGAUUACAAUGAUAAAGUAAACUAAGUAUAAUAAUUUUAUACCUUUAUUA
RNAcentral lists this transfer RNA (69 nucleotides) under Pedetontinus luanchuanensis. Its description in RNAcentral is "tRNA-Ile". The record is from RNAcentral. Lineage: Eukaryota; Metazoa; Arthropoda; Insecta; Archaeognatha; Machilidae.